This is a transfer RNA of 102 nucleotides. It matches the Rfam family "tRNA". Rfam says of the family: Transfer RNA (tRNA) molecules are approximately 80 nucleotides in length. Their secondary structure includes four short double-helical elements and three loops (D, anti-codon, and T loops). Further hydrogen bonds mediate the characteristic L-shaped molecular structure. tRNAs have two regions of fundamental functional importance: the anti-codon, which is responsible for specific mRNA codon recognition, and the 3' end, to which the tRNAs corresponding amino acid is attached (by aminoacyl-tRNA synthetases). tRNAs cope with the degeneracy of the genetic code in two manners: having more than one tRNA (with a specific anti-codon) for a particular amino acid; and 'wobble' base-pairing, i.e. permitting non-standard base-pairing at the 3rd anti-codon position. The record is from Rfam.
GGGAGGUUGGCCGAGUGGUUUAAGGCGUCAGAUUUAGGUAGACCCUAAAACUUGAAUUCUCUGAUAUCUUCGGAUGCAAGGGUUCGAAUCCCUUAUCUCUCA